GAUGUGAAGCUGCUGUCUGAUCUGGUGAAGAGUCCACACUGUAGACUGGAGACUCUGAGAUGGAGUUGGUAGUGAUCUCUAACCACCAUCAUCACUGUGUGUUCCUCUGGACCUGACAGAGUAUCAUCAGUGUAUCUGUCCUUCUGCACAGUCUCUGCAGACACACUGAGACUCCUCCACUCCUUCUGCUCCACACUCCACCACCUCCUCCACCUGGACCUGGGUUUCACUUUGUCUUUAUUCAUUCAUAUAUUCUGAACCCAAAGUGCCUCUGCAGAUUAGUUCUAGGCAUACAGAGAAUAAGAGUUAAAAUAAGGGAAUAGUGCUAAUAGUGAUAAUAGUAAUAAUAGUAAUAAUAGUGAUAAUAGUGAUAAUAGUGAUAACAGUGAUAAUAGUGAUAGUAGUGCUUUAGGGGUUCUCUGUAAGGUUAAGGUCCUCAACUAACAUUGAAAGCUUCAUAGCAUCUUUUUCUUCAUAUGUUUCAGAGAUGAAAAGUAAAGACACAGCUCCUGAUGGAAAACAUAGAAAUUUGGUCUUGAUUUCAGGAAUCUAUUUUUAUGUAUAAAAAGAAUGAUUAUGGAUUAUUGAUUGCCAGGUCAUUCAUGUACGGGAUCUUUCACAAUUGUACCAAAUAUAACAUUUUCCUUUGUUAGAUUAGAAAAAAAAUACAAAUUUAGUGGACAACCAAAAAUGCAAAUCAUCCCAGAGAGCAUUAGCAAAAAUACAUUCAUAAAAUAAAUGUUCUGUAGUUUCAAUGUGUUCAUCACAGAACCAGCAGUUAUUGUGAUCAAAACCAAAACGGUUUCUUAAGAACUCAGCAGAGGGGGAUAUUAUAUAUAUUUCACUGAGAACCUUAAAGUGAACCUCCUUCACUUUUGGUGCAAUAGGACAUUUAAAGAAUUUCGAUCUUAGACUCUCAGCAUCUUUUUUAGAGAAAAGUUUUAGAAUUGAAUUUCUGUUUGAAGAGAACGGAUAUAAGUCUUUAGUAAAGGUGACGUUAGGUAGUUUUAAGUUAAUGAGGUUGUGACCAUUCACCAAAAGUGAAGGGAGAUUGGGGGUUUACAUUAUCUUGAGAUAAAUGAUAUGCCAUCACAAUUACAGCUUGAGGGAUUGCUUUGACAACAUUGUUAUACUGACCUCUGUCAACGAGGCUGAGUUUAGAACAAAAGUCCUCAAAUGGUAGAAUGUUUCCUGUAUUGUCCAAUAAAUGCAUCACAGAUCAUAUUCCUUUUUCUAACCAAUUUUGUAAAAAUAUGGAUUUAUUUUUAAGUAAUACAUUCCGGCAAUUCCGUAUUGGGGUUUUAUGGGGACUAUAAUUAUGCUUGUAUAUCAUUUUCCAAUAAAGUAAAACCUGUUGAUGAAACAAGGA
Long non-coding RNA from Sebastes umbrosus (honeycomb rockfish), 1369 nucleotides. RefSeq lists it as uncharacterized. The transcript is spliced from 2 exons. Lineage: Eukaryota; Metazoa; Chordata; Actinopteri; Perciformes; Sebastidae. The record is from RefSeq and is a predicted model, not a curated record.